RNAcentral lists this ribosomal RNA (497 nucleotides) under uncultured bacterium. RNAcentral's name for it is "partial 16S ribosomal RNA". It matches the Rfam family "Bacterial small subunit ribosomal RNA", at positions 28 to 507 of the family's 1533-position model. The record is from RNAcentral.
GAUGAACGCUGGCGGCGUGCCUAAUACAUGCAAGUCGAGCGAACGGACGCGAAGCUUGCUUUUCUGAUGUUAGCGGCGGGCGGGUGAGUAACACGUGUAUAACCCACCUAUAAGACUGGUAUAACUUCGGGAAACCGGAUCUAAUACCGUAUAAUAUUUUGAACCGCAUGGUUCAAAAGUGAAAUACGGUCUUGCUGUCACGUAUAGAUGCAUCCGCGCUUCAUUGGCUGGUUGGUAAGUUAACGGCCUACCAAGGCAACGAUGCAUAGCCGAACUGUGAGAGUGAUAGGCCGCCCUGGAACUGAGACACGGUCCAGAGUACUACGGGAGGGAGCAGUAGGGUAUGUGCCGCAACGGGCGAGAGCAUGGCACAGUAAGGCGGCGCGAGUGACGACGGUCUUCGGUGCGUGAUACUGUGUUAUUAGGGAAGAACAUAUGUGUAAGUAACUGUGCACAUCUUGACGGUAACUAAUCAGAAAGCACCGGCUAACUACGUG